UUUNCGUCAAUGGGGGGAACCCUGAACGAGCNAUGCCGCGUGAGUGAAGAAGGUCUUCGGAUCGUAAAACCCUGUUGUUAGAGAAGAAAGUGCGUGAGAGUAACUGUUCACGUUUCGACGGUAUCUAACCAGAAAGCAACGGCCAACUACGUGGCAGCAGCCGCGGUAAUACGUAGGUGGCAAGCGUUAUCCGGAUUUAUUGGGCGUAAAGAGAACGCAGGCGGUCUUUUAAGUCUGAUGUGAAAGCCUUCGGCUUAACCGGAGUAGUGCAUUGGAAACUGGGAGACUUGAGUGCAGAAGAGGAGAGUGGAACUCCAUGUGUAGCGGUGAAAUGCGUAGAUAUAUGGAAGAACACCAGUGGCGAAAGCGGCUCUCUGGUCUGUAACUGACGCUGAGGUUCGAAAGCGUGGGUAGCAAACAGG
RNAcentral lists this ribosomal RNA (422 nucleotides) under uncultured bacterium. RNAcentral describes it as "bacterial SSU rRNA". It matches the Rfam family "Bacterial small subunit ribosomal RNA", at positions 362 to 776 of the family's 1533-position model. The record is from RNAcentral.